This 464-nucleotide ribosomal RNA is filed under the name uncultured bacterium. RNAcentral describes it as "bacterial SSU rRNA". It matches the Rfam family "Bacterial small subunit ribosomal RNA", at positions 917 to 1382 of the family's 1533-position model. The record is from RNAcentral.
GGGCCCGCACAAGCGGCGGAGCAUGCGGAUUAAUUCGAUGCAACGCGAAGAACCUUACCUGGGUUUGACAUGGGCGCUAAAGCCACAGAGAUGUGGUGUCCUUCGGGGGCGUUCACAGGUGGUGCAUGGCUGUCGUCAGCUCGUGUCGUGAGAUGUUGGGUUAAGUCCCGCAACGAGCGCAACCCUCGUUCCAUGUUGCCAGCGGGUAAUGCCGGGGACUCAUGGGAGACUGCCGGGGUCAACUCGGAGGAAGGUGGGGAUGACGUCAAGUCAUCAUGCCCCUUAUGUCCAGGGCUUCACGCAUGCUACAAUGGCCGGUACAAAGGGCUGCGAUACCGCAAGGUGGAGCGAAUCCCAAAAAGCCGGUCUCAGUUCGGAUCGGGGUCUGCAACUCGACCCCGUGAAGUCGGAGUCGCUAGUAAUCGCAGAUCAGCAAUGCUGCGGUGAAUACGUUCCCGGGCCUU